AGUGACUUCCAGCACAUACAUAAGAUAAGAUGCUUUGAUUCCCAAGGGUUACAGGAAACCUGAGGGAAUCAAAGUGUAACAAGGUACAUAAUAAGCAUAAAGGUACUUAACAUAAUAAGUGAUCCUGGUCACUUUUCUAUCUUAAUCUAACGAUCUAUAACCAUCGUAAAGUUGGUCGUACAGGAUCUGAGUUUUGUCUUAUUCCAUACUCAUACAUAUAUAUAGUGAACUACGCGUAUAAUAUGAUUUAAUUUGGAAACAUGGAGUUCAAAGAUGCCGAGAUAGAUCCAACUAUUGCCUCGGAAACUUUUGUCACAAAUCGAAGAACAGAUCGUUUAACAUACUCCUUUAUCUGAUUGCUGUAAUCAUUUUCAAUAUCAUGAGCUCUAUCCCAAAGCACAACUCCUCCAUAGUUUGAAGUCUGUUUAAUGAUAGGAAGAACCUUAGAAAUGAGAUCAUCUGGUGGGAUAUAACCUUCACUAGCUGCAUCAGGUGAUGCUGGUAGUCCCAUGAAAACAGUAUUAUUUGGUAGAACUGAAGAUGUCCAAGCAUUCCAUGAUUUUAAGAGGUCUGUAGCAUCUGAGUUUAUUUGAUCAUAUUGACAUGGAGUGUUAUGGUAGAAUUGAACAAGUAUAUAAUCAAACAAGCCAGUUUUGAUAGCUUUGUCAAGGUAGUAAUCUGGCAUAGGACAUUGGGGUGCCGCAGACAAGUAAAAGUAACUGCAAGAGAUAAAAGGUUGAUUUGUUAGUUAGGAUAUGUAAGCAAAAUGAAUUCAAAAUAAUAGAGAGCUAAUUUUUUAAUGAUAAAUAUUAUAUGAGUCAAGCGAACAAAGUCCUUAGAACACUUUUUAAGGAUUCAAAAACGAAAACAAUGAUAAAUUUUAUCGAAAAUGUUAUAUAAACAUCAUUAUUCUCAUAAACCUUUUGUACACCUCAUGCAUUAGGAAGAGAGAAGAGGAGAUGAAAGAGAAAAUGUGUUUGUGUGGGGUCCACGUAACCACAUGUCAGAUUUUUGUGUGGGUGUCAAGGGGUGUAUUGCCACCUAUAGUUGUCUAUGUAUCAUAACUCAAAUUUUAUAUAUAAAAAGUUGCUUUUAAUUUCAUCAAUGUGUAGAAUACAUAAUUACCAAGAUAAUUUUUUCACUUUGAACUUUUUAACAAGGACACUUGUUAGCAUUUUUCGUAUCAUAUAAAAUCAAAUCAUCAUAAAUUUUGAAAAGAAGUAUACUAAAGACGAGAUUAGGGUGUGUUUGAUUUGCAAAAUAGUAAGUGCAAACAGAACAAUAUAUGACAUGACAGAACACUAUAACAUGUAAGAAGUAUUUUUUUCUUCAUAUUAAGUUUCACAUAUGCAAUAAUUUUAAAUUACUAGUUAAGCAUUACUUACCUUGUUUUUUUUUUACUAAUAGGAUUAUAUAUAUAUAUUCCUUUUAAAAAUAAGAGUAUAUAUGUAUUUAUUCUAUCAUUCCUUAAAAAAAAUGUAUUUAUUGUAUCUCAAAUCACUUUUUUUUUUUACUAAAUUAAGAGCAUAAAGAAAUCAAAGGGAAUAGAAGACAUCAUCAACUAAAUUGGCACCCCUUAUUUCAAACCACUAAUACUCUAUUAACCACUAUUAAUAAAACAAGACUAAUAAAAUUAACCUCAUUUUAUCUUAUUUUGUACAUUCAAUGAUUAUCUUAAGAAAUGUUCUACUUCUACUAGGAGUAUAGUUUAUGAAUCUCUUUUUAUAAAAGUGGGAUGGGAUGAUGUGGUCAACUUUUUCUUCAUUUUUUUAUAUAUUUAUUUUUACAUAUAUUUUUAGUUUUAUAGUUUCAAGUUGUACUAUGAUGCUAAAACUUUUCAUUCAAAAAAUAUUACCUGUUUUGUUGUCUUAGGUUGUCAAGUUCCCUAGCAAGGUCAUCCCAGUAAAGAUUUGUAGCAGCUCCUUCAAUGUCAAAAUCAAUACCAUCUAAGGUAACACUUCCAAGUGGACCAAAUUGACCACUAAGAAAGUUAGUAUAGAGGUAAUCAGAAAGAUUUUUAGCUUCUUCCGAUGAGUUAAGGGCUCCUAAUGCUGCGAGGGAAAGUAAAACUUUGAACCCUUUUUCUUGACAGUGUUUUAUUUCGGGUUCGAGUUUUCUGCAAUUCAAGCCAUCACAAUGGCCUGCAAAGUUCAAACUUGGGACUCUUCCUCCUCCAAAGAAUUCAAGGAAAGUUAAGAGUACAAUAUCGUAAUUAUCAGUGUCACAUGUUGAUGUCAAGGUGCCUUCUGUUACGUUUUGGCCCCAGUAGAUGGCAAUGCCACCACUUGAAGAUGCUUUGAUAGUGAAGGGAAAUAUUGUUAAGACUAACAAAAGGAGCAAUGCUUGCUUUUUUGUAUCCAUUUUUUGCUUUUUGUGUUUAGCUAGUUUGAUUACUUUAGAUCGAUUGGGCAACCCUUUUAUAAGGUCUCUGAUAAGGUUAUGUACAUUUAUUUUAUUGUAUAAAAUAAAUUUUAUUCUAAUGGUAAAUAAAAAGGCAAAUUCUACGGUACAUCCAACAUAUUUGAGUGUCUUGGUACACCAGACCUUUAAAUUUAUAGUUAAAUGAAUUAUUUUUAGAAGAAAUUUUUUUUUUUUUAUCAUUUAUAAUUAUAAUAAUUAAAAUCUUAUUCACCAAAAGCAUCAACGAAUUAAAAUUGAAUUUUUAUCGCUCAUAAUAGAGAACUUUGAUUAUUUUAUAUGAUAAUAUGUAAAAAAACUUAUUAUGACUCUUAUAAACAAUGAAUGUUGUGUUUUUCUUAUGAAAUGAUAUUUUCUUAGAUACAAAUGCCGAGAAAUAACUUUUUAUUUCAUAAAAUUGAUUGUUAAUGCAUAAAUUUAGGAAGCAAGAGUACCAAUACACCUUAAUUUAUGAGUGUACAGUAGAAGUUCCAAAAAAAAUAAAACUACGAGUAAAUAUAAUAUUGAGUAACUUAGCAUCCAGCCCACCAAAAUAGACUUUUUGGGACACGUUUUUUUUCUUUCUAAAAUUGAAACUUCCCACGACUAUAUCAUGGGGUCCCAAGACCAUAUUGUAUGGACUCUUUGAAUUUCCUAGGGGACUCUUUGAUAUUUGCUAGGAGCAAUGUUUUUAACUUCGUUUUCCAUGUUAAUGUUUUCAACUUGCCAAAUUUCAUAUAAAAAAGUUGUAUUUGUCCUUUUCAACUUAUGACGGAGCCAGAAUGCAUGCAUGCAGAGCAAAAUAGCCUAGGUUUGUCUGUACAACGUGAAAUGCAUGUGUUGUUUUUGUGGUUCUUUCGAUUUUUUUUUGUCUUUUUUACCUUUUAAAAUUACUCUCAACUUUCAAUGCAAAUAUUACAUAUAAUAAAAUGUAACAAAUUGUACAUGUCCGAUUUUUUCCUUAUCACUUAGAAAAGAUAAUAGAAGAAAGUGAAUUCAAAUAUUAAAAAAAAAAAAGUAACAAACACCCGUUCAAAAAAAAUGUAACAAACACAAUAUUUUUUUUUGUUAUCACACAAAAUAUAUCACGUAAGAAACACACGAUAUGAGUAUAUGUCCAGUUUUUUUUUUUCUUUAUCCUUUAAAAAAAAUAUAACAAACUAGAUCAAAUAUAUGUCACUAUAAAUAUAAUCAAUAAAAAAUGAUCGUUAUUUUAUUUUUAUUUUAUAUACAAACAAACUAUAAUAUGCCAAAUUGAUAAAUUAUUUCGUUAUAUGCUUUGACAAUAAUUUGUAGAUAAAUAGAUGUACAAAUAAUUUUCAUUAAUAUUUAAAAAUUGAAAUAAAAAAUAUACAAACAAAUAUAAUAAAAUAUCCACACACGUUAGCACGGUAAAAAGAACGAACAGACAGACAUGGUAGUGCCCGUCUUUCUGCUAGUGUUCAUAACAUUACUUAUCUAUCAUGGUAGAACUGGUCUAGUGAUUUUGAUUCGGAUAUAUGUUUUGAUAUAUAACAUUAUUCAUGAUCACUUUGUUCAAUUUGUUUAUUUAAUUAACAGAUGGUUUUAAAGCACGAUGCUCUUUUUUACAGCUUAUUUGACUCUUUUGUUCUUGGAUUUUGUGGAACGAAAGAAAUAAUAGAUUAUUCAAGAAUAAGGAAAGUUUCGUAUACCAGUUGUUUGAUAAAAUAAAGUUACAUUCCUUUUGAUGGAUGAAGGCAACACAUGCUAAUUUUGGUUUAGGCUAUGACAUCUGGUGGUCGACCACGCUUGUUUGUUUGAGUAUCGACUAAUUUUGUCUAAGUGUGUUUUGUUUUUUGGUUGACUUUGUUCUAAACUUUUGUGGACUUUUUGGCACACCUUAUGUUAAAGAGGUUUCUCUUUGGUGUUAAUAUAAUCUAUUUUUGCUUGUUAAAAAUAAAUAAUAUUACAACGACCGUUAAUUAUAAUUAUAUGAUUUUGAAUUCAGAAUCGUUUUUUAUUUCAUAAAGUUUACAUACAAUAUUGCAAUGACCGUUACUUACAAAAUGAACAUUACAUUUGCUUAUAAAUUUAUUUUUGAGAUAUCUCUCAAUCGUUAUCUUUUUUCUCUUAUAGCUCACUUUUAAAAGGAGGUAUACGGUCUGUUUAUUUAACUAGAAAAGGAGUAGUGAUACAUAAACCACCUUAGAUGGUAUGUAUCACUUGUACACCCACAUACAAUUUUGAUAAGUGUCCUUGUGGUCCCCCCACACACAAAAAAACUCACAUGUAUUGUCUCUCACACACUCUCACAUGGAGUGGUACAAUGUGUGUAUGGAAAAAAGUGUGUACAUGAAACAUUAUCCAUUUUUUUUCUGUUAUUUUUAAGAGUAAUGAUACAUAUACAUCCUUAGGUGGCAAUACAUUCCUGAACACCCACACAAAAAUCUGACACGUAACUAUAUAUAUGGACCCCAUACAAGCACACUUUCUCUUUCAUCUCAUCUUCUCUCUUCCAAAUAUAUGGGGUGUACAAGGGUGUAUGUAAAUAAAGGAUGUCUAUGUAACAUUUUCCUAUUUUUAAUCAUGAGAGUUCCCAACGAAGAUAAGAAAUUAACGGUGACAAACCGUGAAAGACCUGAUGCUCAAACGGUGUCCCUCCUAACUUCAAAGGCUUAUUGAUAGGUACCACAAAACUUAUGUUCCCCAUGGGCCAGAAGAACAUAAACAACCUGACAGGUACAAGGGUCGGGAAGUCACAAACUCCUAUAGCCCCCUACACGUCAUCAGGAUGCUUUGUUUUCCCCUUGCGACAGAUCAAGGUCGACGAAUCAAAAAACACACUUCAUCCAAGGAGACUACCCAAGGCAUGAACCAACUCCGAGGACACCGAAUUGGACGACAUGAAGUUACGGUCUGGGUAACUCGAAGACACCAGAAAACAUCAGGCUGGACGACACGAAGCUACGAACCCGGUGACUUAAGGGGUCCUAGAAAUCCCAAAUCGGACGACACUAGGCUACGGCAACGGAAACUCCAUGGACCUCACAACAAAUAUUACUCCUCAAAGCCUGAAAUCCAUGGCAUGGGACUAAGUCUCAGACCUCUAAGGCGUACUUCAAAACAGAGAGCUUUAUCAAGCUACAGUCUCCCUCAGCCCAUGCCUUGGGGGGGCUAUUGUUCUCGACUGCCAAAAGCCCAAUUCGGCUCCGCUUGGGUCUUACCCGAGUCCAUUAAGCAGGAAACACCUUAUGAUGGAUACGCCUAAAAUCAACCAGAUUACGGUGCGGUUCGAGGGUUAUACACGAGGUCUGGGGAUUGACCACGCCCACAAAGGCCGAAGUCCACUCCUUAGGGUCGUGGGUUACCCAUGUCCAUACCAACAUGUACGAUUGUAAGGAUAAGGUUUUCAAGAGCCCUACCUAACCCCUAUUUUUACUCAAGUGUUAGCUUUAGGUAAGGUAUGACACUUCUUACCCUAAACUUGUGCCCUCUUCUCUUGAACUCCUCACUUAUUUGGGCAUAGGAGCGUGUGCAGGUACACAACCCUCUACUGUCUCACUGGAGGUUGACGAUCAACCUCGUCGAAGUCAUCAGUGGAUCAACCUUAACAGGCGGUAGAUCCAAGUAGCUCAACCAUCCUCUCUUUGGUCCAAUCGCAUCAAUAACCAAAAAAAAAAAAAAUUCCAAUAAUCCUCUAAGUAAAUAGACUGAGAUCCAAAGGUAAUCCAUCCAUAACAAAAAAAAAGAAGACAAAUCUUUAUAUUCUUUGACCAAAGCAAAAUAGAAUGUGGCGGCGGGAUACGACAGCACGUACUGUGCUUCGACAUGCAAUACAUCGACGUUUAGCUGGAGAAUUGAGACACCUUCAUCUAAUGUUAGCUUAUAGCACUAAAAAAUAGUGGGGAGAAUUUUUUGACAAAAGAGAGAGAGAGAGAGAGAGAGAGAGAGAGAGAGAGAGAGAGAGAGAGAAACUAUUAAUUUGGGUGAGAAAUUACUUUAAAUUUAAUAACGAUUAAAAAAGAGAGAAGGGGGUUUUCCUUUCAAAAGAAGAUAGGUGUAGGAUGUUAAUAAACACCCUUUAAAUUAAGGUGGGUGUCUAUUUGCAUUACCCAAUUAUAAAUGUUUUAUUUUGAGUUGUACAAAUAUCUAUAUAUGUCAUUAUGAGAUUAUGGUUGGUGAUACAAGUUUAUACAGAGUAUUUUGAUUUUGAAAAAUACUAAAAUUAUAAAGGAUAUUCUAUCAAAUAACUUCAAGGGUUUGAUCUAGUGAUAAAAAAAAAGUGAUAUUGGAUUCGAAGAUUCUGCCUUCCAACUCCGCUACGUUUCUUAGAGAGAGGUAAAUGUAGAUUCAUUUAUAAGUAUUAUUUGUGCAUUAAAAUCUUUUCUGAUUUGGACCGUGGUACCAUCCGAGCAACAUAAUUUUUUUUUAAUCAGAAAAAACAUCAACCAGUGGUCGCAAUAUUACCAUCAAUUAUAUAUAUAAUCUCAAUUUUAAUUAUGAAUCGAAAAUAAACAUAAAAAUCUGAAGGAGAAUAGAAAGAAAAAAACAAUUGUAAGGACAAAAAUUAUCAUUUUAAAGGCUAAAAUAAUGUAAUGAAAUCAAAGUUGCAACAAAUGUUAUAUUUAAGAGAUCUAAAAGUCUCUGUUUUUUUUUAGAAAUGAUAUUUGUACAACCAUUUGUGACAACUUUUAGGAUAACUUUCUCUCUCAUACUCAUAUGAUGUUCUUUUUAUCUCUCUUUUUCUCUCUUCAUUGUUUUUUACUAAUAAGAAGAGAGAAAAACAAGGUUGUCAUGAAAGUUGUCUUAAAAUAGAUGUACAUAUAUCACUACUUUUUUUUUUUUUUUUAUCUGCAGCUGCAAACUUGACUGCAGCUCCUGCUGGUACGCAUCUAGCAGCUGUUAACGUACUGUUACUUCUACUGUAACAGAUGCUGCUCCUGCUGUUUUCCAACCAACUGCUGCUAGCGCUCUUGCAAGCGAUGUUCCAGCUGCUGCCCAGCAGCGGUGGAAGCCUCCUGAGCAUGGCCGCAUAAAGUACAACGUUGAUGCGGUGUUCUCUAGUCACCGUAACAAAACGGGCAUUGGUAUUUGCAUCCGCGACGAAGAGGGAGUAUUUGUGUUGGCUAGAACAGUUAGCUUUAUUUCUUGGUGUCUAUCCGGUUGACAUUGGGGAAGCUUUGAGCCUUUACCAUGCGCUUCAAUGGACAAGCGAUAUGCACCUUGAUAAUAUUGAUUUUGAAGUCGACUCUAAAAUCACAAAAGAUGCUCUUUAUUCGUGUCGGGAAGAUAUAACCGAAUUUGGUAACAUCAUCACAGAGCUUCCUGGUCUUUUUACUCUUGUCCAAGUUUAGCAACUCUACGGUGGAGUUUGCUAGGCGACAAGAUAAUGUGGUGGCUCACACUGUUGUAGGAGAAGCCAUAUUCCUCGCUAGUCCCGCUAUUUAUUAUCAUAUACUCAAUUGUAUUGAAACUUUGAUUAUCAAUGAAAUACUAUAAGCACCUUUCCCACAAAAAAAAAAAUCUCUUUUUUUUAAUACUCGUGUUCGUCUAAAGGUCUAAUUUAAAAAAGGGAGAACUAGUUUUGUAAACGUGAUAAAAUAAGGAUCAAAAGUAAAAUUUCUCAUUUUAUAUAUGAGUGGCACAUAUUUGUCUAAUUCUUUUAUUUUAUUUACAAGAAUGUCUAAUUAUUAAACUUUUUCAAAAAAAAAUGUCUAAUCAUUUUUUUUUUCUUUUUGAGGGAAUGUCUAAUUAUUUUAUAAGUGACACAUAUCUUGUAGUAUAUUGGAAAUUCCUAAAACACACCUUAAAAUCCUGAAAAAUGUUCAAACUCCUCCCCUGUUAUCAACUUGAAAUCUUUAUUCAAAAAAUUAAAAAGACCCUUCUUAUUACAUUCACUCUCAUAUUAAAUUUUCCACACUGAUGACGGAGCCAUAAUGCAUACAUGCAUAGCAAAAUAGUCAAGGUUUGUUUGUACAACGUGAAAUGCAUGUGUUUUAUGUUUCUUUCGGCUCUUUUGGACCAUCUUUUUUACCUUUCAAAAUUAUCUUCAACUUUCAAUGUAAAUAGCACAUAUAAUAAAAUGUAACAUAUUGUACAUGCUCAAUUUUUUUAUUAUCACACAAAAUAUAUCAUGUAAGAAACAGAUAUGAGUAUAUGUCCAAUUUUUUUUUCUUUAUCCUUUGAAAAAAUAUAACAAACUAGAUCAAAUAUAUGUUACUAUAAAUAUAAUCAAUAAGAAAAUGACCAUCAUUUUAUUUUUAUUUUAUAUACAGACAAGCCAAAAUAUACCAAGUUGAUAAAUAAUUUCGUUAUAUGUUUUGACAAUAAUUUGUAAUCGAUGUAGGAAUAAUUUCGAUUAAUAUUUAAAAAUUGUAAUAUAAAGUAUACAAACAAACAUAAUAAAUAUACACACACAUUAGGGCGGUAAAAAGAGCAGAUAGAAGGGCACAAUAGUGCCCGUCUUUCCGCUAGUGUUCAUAACAUAACUUAUCUCUCUCGGUAGAACUUGUGUAGUGAUUUUGAUUUGGAUAUAUAACAUAUUCAGGAUCAUUUUGUUCAACUUGUUUAUUUAACAUAUGAUUUUAAAGCAUGAUGCUCUUUUUUACAGCUUGUUUGACUCUUUGUGUUUGAGUUUUGUGGAACGAAAGAAAUAAUAGAUUAUUCAAGAAUAAGGAAAGUUUCGUAUACCGGUUGUUGGAUAAAAUUAAGAAUAUCCAACAAAAUAUAUAUAUAAUUAUUGUGGUCCUUAGUGAAUCCAAAUUCUAGGAGCAAUACUUGCUCGAAACCUCGAAAUAGUUUAUGCAUACUUUUUAAAAGGAAUCAAUAAUACAAAUCUAAUUUAUAGUUAUUCUGUCAACUAACAAGAAUCCCAUUUCAAAACAAUAUAGUUCAUAAAUCUUAAUUGUUUCAAAAUUAAAGUAGCAAUAAUAUUAAAUUCAUAAGCACAAUACCUACUAUUUCAUUAGAAAAAAAAUUAUGAGGAGCAUUCUACCAAAAAGAAAAACAAAUAAGCGAGCACAAAUUAUACAAAACAAAUAGUAUAUGGAUGAUACAAUCUAAAAAUAAAGUUCAAUUUAUCAUGUGAGACUUUUUCUUUUCAAUCAAUGACUACUCUUAUGUUCAAUCACAAAUGUGAUCUAUCUUUCAAAAAAAAUUUGAUAUUAUUUUCUAAAUUUUGCUACUUCAGGAGCACAUUCAAGAGACAUAAAUAAUUAUUUUUUAAUCAUUUCGAUAGAAUUUAUACUAAGAUCAAAUAGAUCUUAUAUAUUUGAAUUGUGGUCAAGAACUCCACAAACCUGUAUGAACAAUAAUCAAGUAAAAAGAUCUUAUGGUCAAGAACUCCACAAACCUCUAUGUACAAUAAUCAAGUAAAAUCACAUUUUUACAAUCCUUAAAGGAUGAUUUAAUAUUAAAUUUUAGUUCUUCAGGAGCUAUAUUCCUAAUCUUUAUAAACAAUGAUCAAGAAAGUUCUUUAUUUGAGCGAUUCUUCGGGGAUCCUUAAAAACAACAAAUUAAUUCCUCGAUAACUACAUUACAUUCUCAACGUGUAACUCUUCAAUACUUUCAUUUUAAAAGUUAUACAAAGGUAAAAUAAAUCUUAUUUUCAACCAUAAAUCUAUCAACACCAAGGAAGAUCAUAAUUUUUGGAGUAAAUUACACUUCCCUCCCCUCAAAGAUGCUUGAAUUACACUCCACUCCCCUCUUAUGUUAAAAUAUACACUCCCCUCCCCUCUUAUUCAAAACAUAUUAGAAAACUUUUCACUCCCCUUUCCUAAGAGAAGCUUGAAUUACAUUCCCCUCCCCCCUUAUGUUAAAAUCUACACUUUACUCUUUCAAUAUUUAUUUUUUAUUUCAAAUAAUCUAGAAAAAUAAUAAUAAUCUAACACACUUCGAAAAAAUAGUAUUACGAGUCUAUUUUAAUAGAAUAAAAAAUUAAAUACAUAUUUUCGCUAUUUUUUAUUUACAAUUUCAUUAACAUGUAGUUUUAAACCCUAUUAUAAAAUAUGAAACAACCAAAACUAAAUUAAAAUAUGUGAAAAAUUUACUAAAGACAAUAAAAUAUGGUUAUUUAAAAGUUAAUUUUAUACUCUAAAUUAUCAAAUCAAUAGCAAAAUAUUUAAAUUUAAUUAUCAUUGACAUUUAAAUUUUAAAGAAAUGAAUUGAUUUUUUUUAAAUGAUGGUUCAAAAUUAUUAUAUAUCAUAAAAAUAUUUGUUUAUCUUAAAAUAGAUUAAAGUGUAGUGAAUAUUUAAUUAUUAAGGGAGGGGGUUGUAAUUCAAGCAUCUUAUAAGGGAGGGGAGUGUAAAUUUUAUUUUUCAAGGGAGGGGAGUGUAAUUCAAGCAUCUUUGAGGGGAGGGGAGUGUAAUUUACUCUAAUUUUUGUUAUCCUUUAAGGAUGUUUGAUAUUAAAUAUUUAGUUCUUCAAGAAAUAUACAUAUCUCAAACCUUCAUAAACAAUGAUAAAAAUAUGAUUCUUUGCAAUCCUUCAUGGAUGCUUUAAUCUUUUAUUUUUUUAGUUCUCCAGGAAUUAUAUAUCACACAUGAUCAAGAACAAUUCAUUCUUAUUUGUUAUCCUUGAGGGAUGCUUCAAAGCAAAUUCUUUCAAAAUUUGACAAGAAUAAACAAGAAAUAUCUGAUACCUGUACAAGUCAAAGAAAUUUUUCAACAAAAAUUAUAUGCAAAAAUAUAAAUAUAGAUCAAUCAAGUUAACCAUAAAAAAAUUAGUUAAAUGAAUACAAUCAAGUUAAACUUGAAAAAUAAUUUCACAUAUGAUUCAAGAGUAAAUAAUGAAUUGUGAUAAAAUAUAUAAUUGUGAUAGAGAUGCACACAAUAAUCAAAACAAAAUAAACUUGGCCAAUGGUUAAUUUUUGUAUAGAUGUACAAGAUAAGUAUUAUUCAAUAUGUUACUAGAAUAUGGGGAGGGCAGAGCAAUAUGUUACAAAUUAUUACACUAUAAAUAAUUUUCGUAGAGAUAUGGAAAGAAAAGAGACCUUAAUUCAAACUUAAGCAACUCAAACAUAUUGUAUUAGGCAGUAAUAUUCUCGAUCAAUAUGAAAGGAAAAAUAAACCAAGCAUGAUUUAAGGGAUUGUAAAAGAACUAUGAAGAACAGAAAAUGCAUGAUAAUUUCAAAAAGACAAUAUCUCAUACAUGCAUAUGAAUCAAUAUUAUACAAACAUGGUGCAUGAACAUAAAAACUCAAUGAAAAUGAUUAUUUCACAUACAAGCAUACAUGAAUCAAUAUUACCUUUGAUUGAUAAAGCUUCGUGCUGAUAACAUCUUAUAAAAUUAAUCUAAAGUAUUGUAAGAUAUUGUACAACAUAGAAGAGUAGAGAGAAACGGAUAAAGAGAUAACAUGGGUCCUAUUUAUAUGAUACAAAUAAGCAAGUGAAAGAUCACAUGUAAUCAAAGAGCACUAACAAUUCAUUCACUAAUUGGAGUUAUAAGAAUCCUUAUUAUCUAAUCAUAACCUACAAUGCACACAACAUUUGCAAAACCCUAAUCCUUGCAUUUGAGCGGGAAAAUGUGAUUUAACCAUAUUUAAUUGCAUUUUUGAAUUUCAAAUCCUAUACCCUUAAUGACAUAGCGCGGUAAACUAUCCCUCACGGCCAUUAAAUGCACUCUUUAGUUUUUCCAAACUAUUUGCAUGAAAUCUGUACAUGACUAUGAAGAGUCUCUACAUUGCUAAUCAAUGUUUCCUACUUUCCAAUGAAACAGUUACCAUUUCCAAGGCAUGCACAUGGCUCAAUGUUACCCACUCUUCUCAAUCCAAAGGCAUGUGAACCAGCCAUAGCAAAACUAUUUCCUUCCUUUUGCUCUCUCUCUCUCUCCUAUCACGCCAUUUUUCUCUGAUCUGAGAAAUUCAUCUUCCAUUUUCAGUCCCUCUUCUCUCUCCCGUGGCGGCGCCAAAUCUGGCCAUUUCAUCUCCGCCGCAACCGUGAUUCCGACCCACAGAAACCAUCACAAUUCAACUUCUCCAGAGAAAGAGAAAGAUGUCAUCGUAAUAUGAACCGAAAUCUUUCGUCGUUUCUCUCUCCCUUCAUCGACGAUGCUUCUUCUGUUGCUAAAUCUUAAACAUCCAUCAUGCUUAAUGUUUUAUUCCAUCGUUGUUCAGAUUUGUUGAUUUUGUGAAUUUUCUCUCAAGGUAAUAGUUUUACCCUUUCUAUGAAUUGAAUUUUGUUUCUCUGAAGUUUAGUUCUCAGUUUCACUUUCAUCCCCUAGAAUCCUUAUGGAGUCAAUCAUUCUUCAUUAUUCUCAGUUUAUCUCCCUCUCCAACGCUUAAGAUGACUCAGAUUUUAAAAAAUCGGAGGUAUUGAAUGUUCAGGUAUUCCCAAAAUUGUUCAUCUUUUCACUUUCACCUUCUUCAUCAUUUCGGUGAUGAUUCAAUUUAGUUGGUUAAGGUAAGAAUGGAAUGGAACGUGUUACAUCAGUGUUAGGUACUCCCUCUCUCACUAUUUUUCCUCUCAUUUGCAAAUCUCUACCACCACUUUGUCUUUUUGAAACAUUUUCUUUUAACUCAAUUUAAUUUUGAAUUCCUAAAUUGCAUUAAGAAAGUGAUUGUUGAUGAUGAUAUCAUCAAACACUUCAACAUAUUAUGUAAUAUAAAAUUUUCAUGUCAAUCAAAUUAUGUUUAAUUCGUAUAAUGAGAAUUAUAUUAAACCAUUAUUAUUUAGGAAUUCACGCUACAACUUUUAAUACGAAUCCAAUUUUUUACAAGGAAUGACAGACUCAACUUAUACGAUAUUAACUCUGUCAUUCCCUCAUUAACUGAUCAAAGUGAUGAAUUUGUUGUAUUUGAUGAGUCUGUACAAACGAAUAUGUCGAAGCUGUAACUGUGGAAAGGUGCUGGAUUUGUUGAUGUGUUAGUUGAAGGAUGUUGUUUGUCAUUAGUUAACCGUUUUAAUUUAGAAUGGAUUCUGUCAAAAUGCAUUGCCCAUUCAAGAGUUUGAAAUUACUGUGAUCAAUUAGUUGGGCUAUAUUUGAAAAUGAAUAAUGAGAUUUGAUUACUAGCUGCAGGAUUACUUCUAAUUAACUCCUAGAGCUCCCUAUGAAGUGUUUUUUUUUUUUUUUUACGCAUAUGAAGUGUUAAAUAUUAUGUUAUUAGUUUGUAUGCUAUUAGCAAACCCAUUUUAUCAUUACAACAUUUUCAAGUUAAUAAUAAAAUGUAUAGAUUUCCAUUAUUGGUGAUGGCUGUGAUAAAUUUAUAAUAUUAUGCUUCCUAAUGGACAUGUAUAAAUAAUUGUCUAUAAUUUGAAGUUUUUCUCUUUUUUUGGAAAUCUGAUGUGGUUUCCUGGGUAUUUUCAGCAUGUAAACUGUUUGCAGCAAAGUUUUCUGAUGGUACAAUACUGCAGCAGAGCAUAAAGGCAUGCAUUUUGUUCCUAGAUUUUGAUCAAUCUCUGCGUAAUCUUUCAUAGUUUCUAUUAAAACUAUUUUCAUACUUUUUGUGGUGUUGUCUUUCUUUCUUUUGAGUUAUGAUGUCUUGAAUCCCUCAAUGCAAGUGUGAUUACAAUGAAGUAUUGGAGUUCUUUACAUUUAAGACUCACUAUUUGAUUUAGUAUUUAUACAAAUUGGAUGUAUGUUGCCUUUAAGAUUUUUUUUUGUUUCGGUUUUAAAUAGGAAGGAUAAACCAUUAAAGUCCAAUAGGCUGUGUGAUAUCUAUAUAUAAUGUAUUUUCCUUCAUGUAUUUAGCUAUCAUGUAAGUGUUGCUGACACAUUCUUCCAAUGAAUGAAAGUACUUAAAGUAAAUUCAAGUUUCAAUUUUGACUAUAUUGUGUUUUGGAUUUUUAUUUUCAAAACAAAUAGUAGGAUUGUAGUUGUGGCUUAUGUUGCCUUUGUUUCAAUGUUUUUCCUUAUCUGAGUUGAUUGUCAAUGUUCUAUUUACACAUGUUUUUCUUCACGUGCUAUAUAUGCGAUGCAUUUCCUUCGAGACAUUGAAUUUUCUGUUGCAAAUAGGUUUAAUUACAAGGACACCGUAUAUUAUUAAAAUUUUCUCAAGACAUAUUCUUUGCUAAAUUGACGAGAAAUAAUCUUGAAAUGUAAUUUGCAUUUGGUUCUGAACAUCAUUUGCUUAACACCAUUUUUAUAUUUAACAUUCCUAUAAUGAUUCAUUUUGAUUUGAAUUUUUAUGCAUGUUAACAGCUUUGUUUCAGAUGUAUUAAGUUGAAUUAUGAAUGAGUUCUUUGAUUGAAAAUUACACAAUCAUAAGUAGUAGUAUGUGUCAUUUCUUAGAUAUCAUUACCCUGAACCUAUGAUUUUUUUUUUGGAUGGAAAUCUGAACCUUUAGGAUUGCUUCAAAAAGUUCUAACUAAAAUUUGAUUUCAAGUGUUCAUUUGAUAAAAAAUUAAUUACAGUUAGCUUAGAGCUUCUUCAUUCUUGAGUGUGGGAUUUACAUUGUAGUUUGGAUUGAUAUAGUUUUUUGCUCUAAUAUAUAUUCCUUUAAUGUUGCUACUACUUCAUGCAGAUUUCUAUUGAGGCAUUUCCUCAAAAUUGUUGCAAAUUUAUCUUGGUGGAUGAGGGUGGAGAAUGUGUUCCUUACAUGUGCAGUGCUGCUUAACAUGUGAUGGUUUAGUUUUAGCAAGCCUCUGAGAUUAACAUUGGAAUAUGUGGUCAUUUGUGUUGCUGAAGGGAUAUUUUCUCUUUCGCUGUUUUCUCUUUCUGUUUUCUCUGCAACUGUUCCGACGUUCUCCUCCAUUCCGAUUUCUCUCAUCACGGCAGCACGGGCGCGAAUAUGUAACUCCGGCGUCACCGAACAAACCAUCGCCGUCGUCAACUUUCAUCACGUCAUUACCAUCACCGCCAUGACAAUGACUCCGUUGCCGGCAGUCCCCUCAAUCCUCUUCAGCGAUCUCAUCCUUUAGGUACUUCCGACCCCACCUUUAUUUUAUUUGUGUUUGAUUUUUUUUUUUUUUUUUUUUGAUUGAAGGUUUGAAAAAUCAUAAAUCACAUAACUCAUGUGUAUAUGUUUUACUUGAUUAAAGGUUUAUGAAGAAAUCUUACAUCAAUAUGACAAUAUCAAGAAAAAGAUUGUUCAGGAUGCUCUUAAUCUAAAUAAGAUCGAUUUUGUUCUUAACCUUAAGCCCAAUUGUGAUGAUUUUUUUCUCUGUUUCUGAUUUUGUUUAAAUUUGUGAAUUUUGAUUAGAAUUUUUUUUGGAAAGAUAUUAUUGUUUUCGUUGCAUUGGGUUUCAUGUAUUACAAGUCAAAGUAAUUACAAUAGUUCAUAUAGUAGUUCAAUUCUUACUUUAAUGACAUAUUUGUCUAUGUAUAAUACUGAUUAUUGAGUUGAUUGCUUUACAGGAUCAGCAGUGCAGAUGUCCAGGUCACACAGGGCAUUAGCCAAAAUACUUCAUCUAGUGUUGUGUCGUUGGUCGAUGACAUGCUUCAAUCUCGCAGAAUGACUAUUGAAGACUUAAUCGAAGCAUCAGAUGUAUGAGAACUUAAUUCCAUGACUACCUGUAGUUAAUCUUUUCAUAUUCAUUAACGUACCAUAAUACACAAUUCACAUAAAUGCCAUGGAAUUGUUCUUGCAACUGUGUGUGACAUCGAAAAAGAGUUUAGCUGGUAUUAUCAGGCGGUACAAAGUGUGCGGUUAGAGUGAAGACUAUUGAUGAUCGACUCUUUUGCCCGAAGUGUAACACUAGGAGGAAUGUUAUGCCUAGGUUUGUUUUUAUGCGACUCUGUUUAAUCAAUUCCAUAUUUUGUCGCAAACAUUGUUUAUUUUUUUCCUUAAUACUGUUGUUGUUAAUUAAUUUGUAGGUUCAAGGUGCACCUGCAAGUAAUGGAUCACACAGGGUCUACAAGUUUUAUCGUGUUUGACCGCAAUGUGCAGACUUAUGUUGGGAGAGGUGUUCAGGAUUGAGUUGAUGCACAAAUAUUUAUAAGAUUCAGUACUUUUUAUUUUUUUUGAUUAAAAAUAUAUGAUAAGCUUUGUAAAAAUCGUGUAAGUUUGGAGAUUGAAAAUAUAUGAUAAGCUUUCUAAACACCGCAAUUUAGGAGAUGCACUUUAUUAAAGUGAUUGAUCACGGUUAGAUAACCGCUAUUUAGAUCGACGUGUUACUAAAUAGCAGUGAUAAUAAUAAGCACAAUGAACAAUAAACUUCUUAUAAAUUGUGGUGCGGCUGUGCGAUCGUUAUCUGAUACUAUAUGUGUAACAUUAUUCAUGUGUAUAUGCAGAAUAACAAUGCAGCUGAUUUUCCUUCUGAGCUUGAUAUUUUCUAUGGGAAACAUAUGCUAUUCAAAGUUGAGGUAGCUGAUGGAAAUCUUAUACAUAAUUGGCGCAGCUACGAUGUUAAACGAAUCAGUGAUGAUGGGGAUAUGACAAAAAGGUUUAUGGUUCCACAUAAUAUCAAGGUGCUAUGUUCAUAUACAAUAUCCAUAUUGUAAUCAACCUAUUAUACGAUGACUGUUUAUGAUAGUUACCUUAGUUCUGUCUAAAGUUUUGUCCUAUAGCAAAAUUUGCAUAAAAAACUUGAUUUCUAUAAUGUUUUUUUACAGUAGUUUUAAAUCACGGUAAUUUUAAAACUAAAUUUUUUAUGAGUUUCCUUUACGGAUGUUUCAAUCUGCUUAUGGUAGGCUUAUUUUGUUUAUUGUAUCACGAAGGUUGAGGGCGUUGAUUCAUCCAAGCCUGCCGUUAAUCAAAAGGCAACUGAUGUCAUAUCCAGGUGAAUGAUUAUGAGAAAGAGGAUGAACAGACACCCUUGAAGCAAAGUUGCGGGGAAAAGAUCGGCUGAAAAAGGUGUUUCAGAGCUGAUGGCUUAUGAGUUGGAUGGCGAUGAAUCUGCCACAAAAUCAGUCAAACUGAAAAGUGUGAAGCUUGAGCCCAAAUAUUAAGAAUAGUGUCAUGUUGCAGUCCGUUUCAUCAAUUAUUUUAAAAAUUGUUUGAAUGUUAUGGUUUAUUUCUUCCGUAUUGUUUUUGUUUCUUGAAGUACUAUUGGUUCGUGUUACUUUAAGUACCGUUUAUGGUGUAUGACAUUUCUUAUCCGUCUUUGUUUAAUUCUAAAGUUAUCCUUUUUUGAUCUAUUCAAUACCUUUGUUAGCACUCUUUUACAAUUAUGAGCAACCAUACCGUAGAAAUUGCAUGUAUAUUCAAUUUUAUGACAGGGUCUGUUUAGAAGUACAUUACUAACCUAUUAGAGGAUCUGUGCCCCCAGGGGUAUAUAUAUAUUUGCAGUUGUAUUGUACAUCAACAUUGAUAAUGCCACUGCAUGUUUAUUAUGUACAACUAUGAUCCUCAUUCCCAGUAAGGUUUUAGUAGUGAAUUGUAAACUGAACAGAAAAUUGGAAUUUCUGUCGCGUCUAAUGUUGGUGGUUUAUGGAACUGUUAUUUUGUUUGUAUAAGUAGCAAAAAGUAUAUGAUAAGUGAUAUAAAUAGUGUCAUUUUAGAAGUAUUAGGCAGUGAAAUAUGUUUUUUUCCCUGCAAUUUGCUGCCCUAUUUUAAUUCAGUUGCAUAUUUGUUAAGAAAUAUCCUCAUUCACCAAGAUUAGGCAUAUGUGACUAAUGUGAUUCAAUAAAAAACCAGAUCCAAUAAAUUGGUUGUUAAUCUAAAACGAAUGCCGUUUUUCUCUAAUUGUCUAUAUAUAUAUAUACUUAUAUUAAAAGAAAUGUCCCUUGAAUUUACCAUUUUGCCCCUAUAAGGGGCAAUUUGGUAAUCUACUUAUUGGUUAAGUUUUUUUUUUUAACCAUGGCCUAUGAAUUUCCAUUUUUGCCCCUAACCAAUUUUUUUUAAUUACUUUCUAAUUUUUAUAUUUUUAAUAACUUUUAAUUAUUUUCCAAUUUUUAUAUUUUUAACUAUUUUUCAAUUUUUUCUCCCAAAUUCAGUUGCUUCUACAUUCUUUCGAAGAAUUUUNNNNNNNNNNNNNNNNNNNNNNNNNNNNNNNNNNNNNNNNNNNNNNNNNNNNNNNNNNNNNNNNNNNNNNNNNNNNNNNNNNNNNNNNNNNNNNNNNNNNNNNNNNNNNNNNNNNNNNNNNNNNNNNNNNNNNNNNNNNNNNNNNNNNNNNNNNNNNNNNNNNNNNNNNNNNNNNNNNNNNNNNNNNNNNNNNNNNNNNNNNNNNNNNNNNNNNNNNNNNNNNNNNNNNNNNNNNNNNNNNNNNNNNNNNNNNNNNNNNNNNNNNNNNNNNNNNNNNNNNNNNNNNNNNNNNNNNNNNNNNNNNNNNNNNNNNNNNNNNNNNNNNNNNNNNNNNNNNNNNNNNNNNNNNNNNNNNNNNNNNNNNNNNNNNNNNNNNNNNNNNNNNNNNNNNNNNNNNNNNNNNNNNNNNNNNNNNNNNNNNNNNNNNNNNNNNNNNNNNNNNNNNNNNNNNNNNNNNNNNNNNNNNNNNNNNNNNNNNNNNNNNNNNNNNNNNNNNNNNNNNNNNNNNNNNNNNNNNNNNNNNNNNNNNNNNNNNNNNNNNNNNNNNNNNNNNNNNNNNNNNNNNNNNNNNNNNNNNNNNNNNNNNNNNNNNNNNNNNNNNNNNNNNNNNNNNNNNNNNNNNNNNNNNNNNNNNNNNNNNNNNNNNNNNNNNNNNNNNNNNNNNNNNNAAAAAAACAGCAUAUAAUUGGGAACAUACUUUUAUUUUACUUUAGAUAAACAUUAAAUGCAAAAGUGUGGAGGGAAAAAUUAGGUUAAAAUUAGAGAUGACUUUUUGCAUAAAUUAAAUCUAGGGUUAAUAUAGUAAAGUCACACGAAAAAAUUAGGUUAAAUCUAGGGUUAAUAUUGCGUCACGGGUUAACGUUUAUAAAUGAGCUGACAUUUUGCAUAAAUUAAAUCUAGGGUUAAUAUAAUUUGUUUAAUAAAAUUAAGGAGAAAAAUUAGGAGCGAUUUGUUAUUUUGAUUUCCCUAACAAUUAACGUUAACAUUUUGAUUAAAUUAAAUAGGGGUAAUACAGUAAAAUUAAGCAAAGAAGUUAGGUUAAAUCUAGCGUAAAAUUUUGUGUUCGGGUUAACUUUAACGAAUAAGAGACUGCAAUAAUUGUUAUGUUAUUUUUUAUGUAGUGCUUUAGACUCUGUGUUGCAAAUUUUUUGUUUACGCAACUUUGAUUUUCACAUUUAUAAAGGGUAACAAUUUUCCGUAAUUUAUAAGAUUUCUCCUUCAUAACUAAAUUUUAAAAAAAUACGUUAUUCAACCUGUGCAAAGCACGGGUUUAUAACUAGUUAAUUUAAAAAAAAAAACCUUCUCUGUUUAGUGCUUCCACUAUCCUGCGAAGACCAUUGGUUUAACGAAAUUGGCAACCUAUAGCUGCUUAGAUAUUGUUAAUCCUUCUCCCAUAUGCUAAAUUAUAAUGAAUAUACAAACUUCCGGAUUUUUAUUUCUGAACAAACUAUUAUUAUGCACAUAUUUAAUUUCGAAGAUAUCAAGUUAAUAUGUACAAAUUUAACUUCCAAUUGUAUGCAAUAUUUCACACCAUUCUAUGUUUUAUAUUAAGUGCUUGAUAUAUCAUCCAUGCAUAAAAUUGUGGUUAUGUUUAGAAGGAGAUUUUCUGCAAUCUACCGAUUUAAGGUCUUUUUUUAUUGUAUUUUUUUUUAUAAACAAUUUAUUUUGUACCGCAAGCAUAUUUUAAUUUGGGUUAAUUAAGUAUUUAGUCCCUAUAAAUAUUCACAGUUUUGUUUUUAAUCCCUACAAAAUAAAAUCACACCUUUUAGUCCUUAUAGAAUUUUCCAUCGGCAUUUUUAGUCCCUAUAAAUUUUUCCAUCAGCCCUUUUAGUCCCUGUCAAAAAUUUUCAUCAAUAGUUUUGGUCCCUAAAAUGCUUAAGGAAAAUGUCACAGAGACUAAAAAGUGUGAUUUUAUUUUGUAGGGACUAAAAACAAAACUAUGAAUAUUUAUAGGGACUAAAAACUUAUUUAACCCUUUUAAUUUCAAUAUAUUUGCAUGUUUUGUUUCCAAUCGAUAUGACCCGUGCGGCAGCACGGGUGGAUGGUCUAGUUAGGAAUAUCACGAAUGGACAUCCACCAACAUUAUUAUUCAUAACAUAUAUAAGCAUUUUUGGAUGUGUUGUCAAUGUUUCAAUUGCUCCAAUAUAAUGCACUUAGAUGGGUCGUAAAAGAAUAUUGGAAAACUAUAAUUGGUAUGAAUCUCCAUCUAGUCUAGUAUAAAAUAUUUUGAAUAAAUGAUUGGAGUUCAAUUUCAAGCCAAGUAGGCUGAUUAUGAUUUAAUAAAUUAGUUUUUUCAAUAUUAGGGGAAAAAAUAAGCAGCUGAAUAUAUGGACCAGAAGUUCAAAUGAAUCAUUUAAAAUAAUUAUUAUUAAUAAAAUACGAAUAUGAUUAUAUGAACCAUAAGUUCAAAUGUAUCAUUUAAAAUAAAUUAUUAUUCUUUCUUCUUGAUCCUCAUAUAAAUCAGCAGGAACCACAAGUUCAAGAUAUGGUUUCAUUUGCAAAGUUAAACAAACAAAAUAUCAGUUGCUAAUACUGCAAUAAAAAUAAAAGAUGUCUCAUUUGGACAAUAUAAUAUUACAAAUGAAUCUAAAUUGCAUCCGAACGGAUUAGAUACUUGGAAUUUAUGCUAUGCAAAUAAAGAGAUCUCGAUAAAUUAUGUCAUGGAUGAAAUGCGAUGGAACCAGAAAAACAAAGAGUCAACGUUGAUGAUGUUUUUAAAUAAAAUAUAGCGCUAUAUGUGAAAAAUGAUAAUGAGAAUCAUGAAUCAAAGUCUAUUACGGAUUAUAGAAAAAAGACAAUAUAAUGACUGACUUAAUGAAAAGAUGGCAUUUUAUGCAAAAUUAAACUAGCUUUGCAAAGCGAAUGGUUUUUGGACCAGUAGUCCAUGAAUAUGUGAAAAUAAAAUUAUAAUUUUGAAUUAUUUAUAAAGUUGGGCACAUUGUUCAAGAGUAUUGGUGAAAUCCUACUAUUAAUUUUGAAGAGACAUAUUCACCGGAAGUGAAUUCAAAUACAAUAUGAUACUUGAUUAAGUGUAGCACCAUUUGAAAGCUUCAAUGUAUAUAUGAGGUACAUCUUACAAUAUAUUUAUAUGACUAACUUGAUAUUUUUAUGUAAAAUUCUUCGAGUGAAUAUUUUGAAAAGAGAGAUAUAAAAAUAUAUGAUUUGUCCAUUUGAAAAUAAAUCUGAGAACUACUGAAGAAUUUUUGAAAUUUGAAUUCUUAAAGAAAAGAAAUCAAGAUGAAAUAUGUAGGAAUGGUAAAUAUUUAUUUGAGAUUGUUAGGUUUGUAUUUUGUGAUUGACCGCAUUUUGUUAAAACAAGUGUUCUAGCAAGAUGUUGAAUAAGAUGUUUUGACAUGUUGGUACGACAUCGUAGCGUGCCUUGUUUCACUUUCUUGAAAGAUUUGUUUUAAGCGUGAGAUCUCUGAAGAUUCUAUGAAGAUAUGAUACACGUAGAGUGUUGACCAAGAAGCGUGUGUUUUCUGGAAGCAGCAAAAGGCGGCUUAAGAUUUGUCGUGUUUCCUUAUAAUGGAUUUCAAAAAAUUUAAGGAAACAAUAUACAUGCUUCCAGAAUAUUGUGUUGAAGACCAUAUUGGAUAAGUUGUGUGUUUAGCUCGAAUUGUUCAUCAAGCCCAUGCUAUUCUCAGACUAUAUAAAGGAAGACUUUAAACCUAAGAAUACUACUGAAGCCGCAUUUGUGAAAGUGUCAAUUAGGGUUUUAGUCUGUCCAUUGUUGUUUGUGAGCUACUCUUGUAUCACGUUGAUGCUAGAGUUGGACUGAUAGUUGAGUUGUAAUUGUGAAUCACUUGUCAGCUUUUACGCAAGAGUGGAUUUUGUUUAUUGGAGUGUGUCUCCAUCUUGACUGUAUUUGUUAUCACUGGUGAUUGAUUGAUAGGAAGUGGGAGGGGUCCCAUAUCUAUGUGUGGCUUAGAUAGAAAUACCACGGGUAGUGAUUAGAAGAGAAGGAAAGUAAACCGGAGGUUGUUUACGUAUGACUUCAAACUAAUACUAUUAUAGUGGACUUCCUUCCAGGCUUUGAUGCCCCCAUAUGUAUGUGACGUUGCCACGAACUUGAUUAGAAUAACUUGUGUCAUUUACUUACUGUAAUUUAUUUUAAGUUUGUUAAUUAUUAUUUAUGUUGUCACGAAAGGGUGGAAAAAUACCCAAGCCCGCGGGUGCCCGUUGAUAAAAUCUGUCAUGGACACGGGGUAGGUAGCUAAACAGAUAUCCACGGGUAUAAUAAACGAGUAUUUGACUACCCAUUAUUAUAUGGAUACGGACACGGAUUUGAUUGUACCCAUACCCCACGAAUACCCAUACCCGAUAAUAAAUUAAGUAAAUUAAUAAAAUAUCUUUAUAUAUCUUAUCUUAUCUUAUUACUUAAAGUUGUUAUCUUAUUGAAAGAAAUUUUACCGCCCACCUAAGAUUCCUCAUUAAUAACCUAUUUUUAUUUUUAAUUUUUUUAAUUCAUCUUAUUAAGUUCACCAUUUCCACUUUAUUCACAUCAUAAAACAUAUCCUAUGGAUUAUGUAAGAAUCAUGAAUUUUAUAUGGAUUAUGUAUGAUUUAUGAAAUUUUGAAUGGAUUAUGUAUGGAUGUUUAAAAGUUGAAGUUUUUGGCAAUUAAAAAAAAGUUAUUAUUUGUACCAAAAAAUAAAUUAAUUAAAAAAUUCAUGGUACCCAUGAAUACCCAUGGAUACCUUAAUACCCACGGAUACCCGUAUAGUGGGUACCAGCGAGGGUACAUGGCGGGUGCGUAUAUCAUAUUUAUCCAACAAGGCGGGGACGAGUAUCAUACUAUCCGUAUCUAUGGGUAUCCAUUGACAUCCCCAGUCACAAUGUCUUGACAUUGCAUUCGACAUUCCUGGUGUCUUGACAUCGUGCUCGACAUCUCUUUACUGCGUGCCAUAAUUCUAGAGAUUACAAGUUUAUUAUUUUUCAAAAGCAUGAACUUUAUAUACCUAGGUGAUAAAAUUAUUAUAUAUGGACAAAUGACAUUUGUUGUGCACUAAAAUGGGUGUAAAGUCACUAGAUGUAGACUAAGAUCGUUUGAAAAUUUAAGUAAAUAUUGAAGAACUAAUUGAUUCUGUAGUACCAUAUUUUAAUUCAAUUGAGGGAUAAUAAUUUAUCUUGCUAAUUAUUCAUGUUAUUAUAUAAUAUAUAUUAUUUGUUAUUUUAAAGAUGUAGGUUAUUUGUCUGAUCCUCAACAUUAAUGGGGUUUGAUUGAGGUCUAUGACCGGAACACAUAGAAGAAACUUCCGGUUUGUCUUCAAGAAGAAGAAACACAACAAUCCUUUAUAAAUAUAAUACCAAGAGCAUUGCUUUGUUGAAAGGAUGGUAUAUUAAGGUCGAUAGAACAUAAACAUUUUUUAUUUUUAUUUCUUUUUCUCAACAAAUUUGUUUGUGUGAUAAUCUUAAAUGUAUUUUACAAAGUAACUCCCAAGUAAAAUGUUUGAGCAGCUUUUUUUUUUUGUGGUGUCCGGAAUUUGAACUCCGGAUCUUACAUAUAUUAUGCAUUGUUCUUAUCAACUAAGUUAAGUUCACGGGGACAAAUGUUUGAGCACCUGGUACAAAAGAUCGGUGUUCAUCGUAUCAGAGAUGAUUGUUUGGUUGAGAGGGAGAAAUAAAUAUAUUUUCACUUUUUUUUCCUUCAUUAUGGUUUUGUCAUACUGAAUUUUCCUGGUAAGGUUUUUAAUGAUGCAAAUAUAUCGGAUAUUUUACUUUUUUUUCCUUCACUAAGAUUUCUCCCAUUGAGUUUUUUCUUAGUAAAGUUUUAAUUAGACAUAUCAUUAAUGGACAUCCAAGGGGAGUGUUACGAAUAAUAAUAAUAAUAAUAAUAAUAAUAAUAAUAUGAUGUAGAUGUCCAUUUUCCUAAAGCUUUCUAUGUUUCUUAACUCCUAUGAAUGAAUGUCUCUAUUCAUUGUUAUUGCCACUUAGUCUUCCGACUCUUCAUAUACUUUUUUUUUUUUUUAGGGAAAACUCUUCAUAUACUUUUCUUAACACAUUUGUGUUUUAUAAAUAAAAUUUAUUUCAAUGUAAAAAACACACUUAUAAAAAGAAUACAUAAAGCUGUCAUCUUAUUCAUCUUUGAUCUUAUCUUUUUAGUUUAUUUAAUAUUGAACUAAGAACCGGUGGACAACUUCACUCUUUUUUAAAUCACAAAAUCAUCAUCGUGUAAAACGCGGAUCAUAAAGAAAAGAAAAGAAAAUCAUAAACUAUUACUGCAUGUUACUAGCUGUCUCUAUAUUAGUGAUUCGAAGAUAGGGACCUAAUGUGAGAGAAAAUUUCGAUAGGUGCAUUAUUAUUUUUUUUUUUUUUUUGAGUUUAAAAUUAAAAUAUGCUUUUUUUAUUUUUAUUUAAUUCUAUGACUAAAAGAACAUUAAAAACGAGAAAAAUAUUUUAAAAAGGGGGCUGCCAUGUACACUAUUGGAAUGGUAAAAAAGAUAAAGUAGUUGUUGGUAUGAAAAAUUCUAUGGUUUAUAUAUUUAAAAACCGAGUCCUGUAGUUUAUUUUCUUCCUAAAUCAGACAAUUUUAUAAUUGUUUUGAGUCUUUUAUUCAUAAAUCAUGUAAUUCGAUAAACAAGAAACCUCAUGGAAAAUUUUGAAGUCUCCACAUGAAUUUUUGUUCAACUUAUUAUUAAUCAACGGUAAAAGAGAAAAAGUGGUUGUAGGUAUGGAAAAUUUUGAAGUCUCCACAUGAAUUUUCGUUCAACUUAGUAGUCCAUUCGUUUCAAAAUAUAAGCAAAUUUUACUUUUUAGGUUCAUUCAAUUAAUGAUGUAUAUGGUUUAUAAUAUGGACCACAUACAUCAUUAAUUGAAUGAACUUAAAAAGUAAAAUUUGCUUAUAUUUUGAAACGGAUGUAGUAAUUCACUGUAAAAGAGAUAAAGUGGUUGUAGGUAUGAAAUUUUUUGAAGUCUCCACAUGAAUUUUCGUUCAACUUAGUAAUUAACCGUAAAAGAGAUCAAGUGGUUGUAGGUUUUUUAACUGUCAUGCACAAUGCGAGAUUAGGUUCCUUUGAUUCAGACCUUAACGACGAUUAGGGUAUCCGUAAAUCUCAUGUGCCUUCUUUGUUGGAAUUAAUACAGUUAAUUAUUAGUUUAUGAUCUGUCUUUGAUCAAGAAAGUAGGAUAUGACUCCAUGACAUAAUCGUUGGAAGUUUUAAUUUUAGAAAGGAAAAAAACGUGUUGCAAAAAGUCUACUUGGUAGGCUGGAUGCUAAAUUAUUCAAUAUUUACCAGUAGUUUUUAUUUACAAUUAGAAUAAAGUUUAUUUUAUACAAUAAAAUAAAUGUACAUAACCUUAUCAGAGACCUUAUAAAAGGAUUGCUCAAUCGAUCUAAAGUAAUCAAACUAACUAAACACAAAGCACAAUAUGGAUACAAAAAGGCAAACAUUGAUCCUUUUAUUAGUCUUAACAAUAUAUAUAUUUCCCUUCACUAUCAAAGCAUCAUCAAGUGGUGGCAUUGCCGUCUACUGGGGCCAAAACCUAGGAGAUGGCAACUUGACAUCAACAUGUGACACAGGUAAUUACGAGAUUGUACUCUUAGCUUUCCUCAAUGUCUUUGGAGGAGGAAGAGUCCCAAAUUGGAACUUUGCAGGCCAUUGUGGUGACUGGAGCCCUUGUACAAAACUCGAACCCGAAAUAAAACACUGUCAACAAAAAGGGAUCAAAGUUUUACUUUCGAUCGGAGGUGCAUCUGGAUCCUACUCCCUUAGCUCACCAGACGAUGCUAAAAAUGUUGCUGAUUACCUCUAUACUAACUUUCUUAGUGGUCAAUUUGGUCCACUUGGAAGUGUUACCUUAGAUGGUAUUGAUUUUGACAUUGAAGGAGGUAGCGAUCUUUACUGGGAUGACCUUGCUAGGAAUCUUGACAAUCUAAGACAACAAAACAGGUAAUGUUUUUUGAAUGAGAAGUUUUAGCAUGUUAAUACUAGUAGUUUGUCCGUCUCAUAUUAUGUAUUUUUAAGAUUAUGUCCAUUUCUUAAGAGCAUCAUUGAGUGUACAAAAUUUUAAGAUAAAAAUGAGUUUAAUUUCACAAAAAUAUUUUUAUUAAUGGUGGUUAGUAGUGGUUUGAAAUAAGGGGUAAAUAUGGCAACAAAGCCCAUAUAUGUGGGUACCCGUCUGUACCAAACUUAAAUUGACGGAUUUUCCCUGCUUUGAUUGGGUUUGAGUUUUCUUCGAUUUCAAAACACGAGUAUGAGACCGGUAAUGGACAUAUAAGUACCCACCCUUAACCCAUACCCAAACCCGUCUCGAAUGUAAAAAAAUCAAUUUAUUAUCCUUUUUAUAUAAAUAGAAACUCCAAACCUAAAUCAUUUCACUCACACUCUCAAUCUUUCAGACGACACUCACUUCUAUAAGUUCUUUCUCGUCUCCUUCCACAUUUCACACCCUGGGUCUCUCUCUUCCCCAUAACCUAGUCAUCGAUCAUCAUCAUUUCUUUGCUGAAUAAUGCAAUACAACAUUGAGCCUGAGGCUGAAAAAUACUUCUUUUUAUUAAAAAAUUUAUCCACUGCGGGGAUGAAGAUGGUACGGAGAUACACAAAUCGGUCGGGGAUGAGGAUGAGAUUCAAUUUCUCAUCCCUAUUGAGUAUGCGUAGGGUAACAGGUAAGUAUUUGAGACUAUGGUAUGAGAACGGGGAAGUUAAAAUUCUUCCCCACCUCGCCCCAUUGUCAUGCCUAAUAAGGGGUGCCAACUUAGUUUGGAUGUCUGGUAGUUUCUUUGAUGUUUUUAUGCUCUUAAUUUAGGAAACAAAUAGUGGUUUGAGAUAAAAUAAAGGCAAAAUUACACAAUUAGUCCCUUAACUUUAUUUUAGGUAACAUUUUCGUCCUUUAUCUUUUUUUUGUCACGAUUUAGUCCUUUAUGUUAUAAAAUGACAAUAUCUUAUCAUUUUUUAUGAGAUUUUUUUCAAAGAAAUUUGAUUUUCUAGACUUGUAUGAUGAAGAUUUACGUUUGCCUAAGAGUUUGAUGAUUUUUUUUUGGAGUUUUUGAUUAUUUUUUUCAUAAAAAAGGAUAACUAUGUUGUUAUUUUAUAACAUAUAGGACUAAAUCGUGACAAAAAAAAGAUAAAGGACGAAAGUGUUACCUAAAAUAAAGUUAAGGGACUAAUUGUAUAAUUUUGCCUAAAAUAAAUACAUAUGAUGAUUUGAUUUUUGAUAUGAUACGAUACGGAAAAUGUUAGAAAGUGCUCUUAUUAAGAAGUUUAAAGCGAAAAUUUUAUCUUGGUAAUUAUGUAUUUUGCACGUUGAUGGGAUAUAAAGCAACUUUUUAUAUAUAUAAAACUUAUCAAUUGUUUCCUUUUUUGUAUCAUUAAAAAGUGCCCUAAAAGCACUUCUUAGCUUGACUCGUAUAAUAUUUAUCAUAAAAGAAAAUAGCUUUCCAUUCAAUAUAUUUUUGAAUCCUUUUUUGCCUACACCCUAACUAAAAUCAACCUUUUAUCUCUUGCAGGUACUUUUACUUGGCAUCUGCACCCCAAUGUUUUAUGCCAGAUCACUACCUUGACAAAGCUAUCAAAACUGGCUUGUUUGAUUAUAUACUUGUUCAAUUCUACAAUAAUCCUCCAUGUCAAUAUGAUAUAAUAAACUCAGAUGCUACAUUGCUCUUACAAUCAUGGAAUGAUUGGACAUCUUUAGCUUUACCAAAUAAUACCGUUUUCAUGGGACUACCAGCAGCACCUGAUGCAGCUCCUUAUGGUGGUUAUAUACCACCAGAUGAUCUCAUUUCUAAGGUUCUUCCUUUCAUUAAACCAACUUCGAACUAUGGAGGAAUUAUGCUUUGGGAUAGAUUUCAUGAUGUUGGAAAUGAUUACAGCAAUCAGAUAAAGGAGUAUGUUAAACGAUCUGUUCUUCGAUUUGUGACACAAGUUUCUGAGGCAAUAGUUGGAUCUAUCUCGGCAGCUUUGAACUCCAUGUUUCCGAAUUAAAUCAUAUUAUAAAUUGAUAGUAAUCGCGUAGCUCACUAUAUAUAUAUAUAUGUAUGUGUAUGCAAUAAGACAAAACUCAGAUCCUCUACGACCAACUUUACGAUGGUUAUAGAUCGUUAGAUUAAGAAAAAAAAGUGAUCAGGAUCACUUAUUAUGCUUUGUACCUUUAUGCAUAAUAUGUACCUAGUUACACUUUGAUUCCCUCGGUUUUCAUGUAACCGGUGGGAAUCAAAACAUCUUAUGUAUGUACUGGAAGUCACUUUGAAAUUUGAAUAACAUUGUGCGUUUUCAACUUAAAUUCUAACCAGUCUAUGUAAUUCACAAAAGUGUAUAAGAACAACUAUAUUUUUGUAAGUUUUUUCGUAAAACAUUUUCUUAACAAAAUAUGUAAUAUAAUGUGAACUCGAGUAUAAAGUUUUUUAAUCUGAUGAAGCGUCACUACGUGGUUAUACUUAAUGGCAGUUUGAUUUUUAGGGCAACAAAGGAAACAAGGCAGUUGGUUGAAGGUAGUGAAAGGGAGUAGUAUGGACUUCUGUAAGCUUAUGUACAUUAGUUAAUUAGAAGCAACCAGGUUUUUUGUGAAGAUGAAUACCAUACAAAUUCCAUAGUCACCACCAAAAUUCAAAAGAUUCUAUGUUUGUCCUGAUGCAUGUAGAAAAGAUUUUAUGGCGGAAUGUAGCUAGGUCAUUGAUUGAUUUAGAUGGAUGCUUUCUCAAAGGAUGUUUUGGAGGGAAACAAUUGUCUGUUGUGGGACAAGAUGAAAAUAAUUGCAAUUUUGUCACUGCUUAUGCCAUUGUGGAUGUAGAAAAUGGGGAUAAUUGGAAGUGGUUUUUGAUACUAUUGCAUGAGGAGCUUGGAGACAACGUGCAGAACGGAAUUAAUUUUAUUUCAGACAUGCAAAAGGUAAUAAAAUACUGCAUGGAUUAUAUUCUAUUUUGACAACUUUCUAUUCUGUUAUUAUAUUCUGCAUGUAUGUUAUAAUUGCUCGUUUUAGGAUCAACUUGUUGGGAAAGUGACUCAAAAUUGGAGAAAUUGAGUUUGCUGAAGCUGUCAAAAUCGGAGCCCGAUUUGGAGAAAUGGAGAAAUCGGAGCACGAUUUUAUGUUGCAGAAUUGGCACUUUCAUUCGUAAAAAAUCGGAGCACGAUUUUGCGCAGAGUCAGAAAAAUAAAACGUAUUUUUGGGCCUGAUUUUGUUCCAAUUUAUGAGGGAUUCUUUUACUAUAAAUAUAGGCUUUGUAUCAGUAAUCCUUGAGAUAGAGGGGGCUCAAACGAGGGUUUAGAAAGACAACAACAAAACUAGGGUUUGUAUAGAGUUUGUCUCUUUGGCAACAAACACUUGGGUUUGAGGGUUGAUUCACUUUGGGAAACACUAUUAGGAUUGAGUCUCUUGGUUACGGGAAGAGAUUGAGGCUUUGGGUAGAAGGCGGGAGACUUAUUCUUGUAACCAUUGAUAUCUCUUUUGUAACGUUACUCAUCAUAUAGUGAAACGGAUGACUGCUCUCUCCCCCAUACUAGGUCAAUUUGGACUGAACUGGGUCAACAAAUUCUUUUGUGUUCUCUCUUCUUUUCUCUCGCUGUUUUCUACUUUUUGUUUGCGUUUAUAAUUGUUUCAUACACUGCGAUUUUGGUUGCUUGAUUAUCACUUGCUCCACACAUCAAGUUGUGAAAGUGACUCAAAAUUGGAGAAAUUGAAGUUUGCUGAAACUGUCAAAAUCGAAGCCCGAUUUGGAAAAAUCGGAACACGAUUUUUUGGAGAAGAAUUGACACUUUCAUUCGUAAAAAAUCUGAGCACGGUCUGGAAAAAUCGGAGCACGAUUUCGCGCAGAAGAAUAAAAAUAAAACGUAUUUAUAUGGGCCUGAUUUGGUUCCAAUUUAUGAGGGAUGCUUUUACUAUAAAUAUAAACAUUGUAUCAGUGUAAACCUUGAGAUAGAGGGGGCUGAAACAAGGGUUUAGAAAGAUAACAACAAAACUAGAGUUCGUAUAGAGUUUGCCUCUUUGGAAGAAACACUAGGGUUUGAGGGUUGAUUCACCUUGAGAAACACUAUUAAGAUUGAGUCUCUUGGUUACGGUAAGAGAUUGAGACUUUGGGUAGAAUUAGGCGGGAGACUUAUUUUUGUAACCCAUUGAUAUCUCUUUUGUAAGGUUACUCAUCAUUAUAGUGAAACGGGGGCUGCUCUCUCCCACAUACUAGGUCAAUUUGGACAAGACUGGGUCAACAAAUUCUUUUGUGUUCUCUCUUCCUUUCUCUCCCGUUGUUUUCUACUUUUGGCUUGUGUUUAAAAUUGUUCCAUACACUUUGUUUUGGUUGCUUGACUAUCCCUUGCUCCACACAUCAAGUUUGUUAUUGGUGUGAUUUUUUCAUCGAAUUCACAACAGGAUGCUUGAUUUAUGCAUCAACCCUACCUGUUAACAGACAUAAAUUUGAUUAUAGAGCUAAGAAAUGUGCUUUCUUAUGUUAGAAGUCUGGCAUUAAAGGUUUUGUUCUUGUUGAUGUCCAUACUUCUGAAGUCUUAGUUUCCAAAUUUGUGAAAUUUUUUUAACUGGAAUUUCCAUUUCAUUCUUCUAGUAUAACUUCAGUUCCCAAUACACAGAUUUAUCUUUGAUAGUCAAGUCAUUUAACCAAUGCCUGUUAGUUCUUCUCCUCCUAAUGUUGUGAGUUCUAAUGAAGACAAUGUUGAAGUUUUAAAUGAAGAUAAUAUUAGUGAUAAUGAAGAGAGGGAUAUUGAUAUUGUGCAUGUAUCUACCAGAAAGUCUUUUAGGGUUUCUCAGGCACCUUCUCACUUGCAAGACUAUAUCUGCAUCUCCAUAGGUGGUAACUAUCCUAUGCGUAAAUUCCUUAGUUAUUCAACUCUAUUUCCUAAACACCAGCUUAUGCAUACUAUUUGAACACUGAACUUGAGCCCACUAGUUUUUAUUCUGCUAGUAAAGACUCUAGAUGGAUAACUGCUAUGCAGACAGAGAUAGAAGCACUCAAUGCUAACAAUACUUGAGAAUUUGUUGAUCUUCCUUCAGAUGCAACAUCUAUAGGCAGUAAUGAGUGUAUAAAAUAAAAAGACAUGCAGAUGGCACUAUAGAACGUUUCAAAGCACCGUUGGUUGCACAAGGUUUUAACCAAGUCAAUGCACACGUGGACGCCACGUAUGUAAUUUUUUUUAAUUAAAAAAUUAAAAUAAAAAUUUAUAUUUUUUAAUUUAAAAAUAUAUAUUAAAAAAUAAAAAAAUAAAAAAUACAUACACACGUGGCGUCCACAUGUGCAUUGACUUGGUCAAAAUUGCCCUGGGGGGCCAAAACUGUAAAAAAAGUCAAUACUUUGGGGGCAAUUUUGUAGUUUAUUUAGUUAGGAGGCCAAAAUCGCAACUUCUUAAAACAUAGGGGGCCAAAACUACUAUUAAGCUUUUUAUAAUCCAUCUAACAAUAGUGUUUUUUUUUUUUUGGGUAAAUACCUCUUUUCGUCCCUGUAAUAUUAGCGAAUUCCGAUUUUAGUCCCUAUAAAAAAAAGAUUUAGAUUUUGUCUCUGUAAUUUAAGAUUCUUCCACUUUUGAUCCCUCAUUCCACCACGUCAGCAGAAUCUGCAUACAUGGUACCUAAAAUGAGGGAUCAAAAGUGGAGGAAUCUGAAAUUAAAGGAACCAAAAGUGGGAGGAAUCUGAAAUUACAAGGACGUAAUUGAUGCAGAUUUUGCUGACGUGAUGAAAAGAGGGACCAAAAGUGGAAGAAUCUGAAAUUACAGGGACAAAAUCUAAAGCAUUUUAUUUACAGUGACUAAAACCGAAAUUCGCUAAUAUUACAGGGACGAAAAGAGGUAUUUACCCUUUUUUUUUUUUUGGCUUAAUUGCACUUUUCCCCCCUAUAGUUUGCCAAUUGUGCGAUUUUGCACCCCAUAGUUUUAACGAGCGAUUUUGCCCCCUAUAGAUUUCCCCCUUUAUGAUUUUAUGGUCCCCAUGAUAUUUAGUGCUGGUUUUUUUAUCAAUUAAUGUGUGUCACGUGUGUAAUUCUAUUUUUUAAAAAAUAAAAAAAUGGUAUUUUUCAGAUUUUGAGAGAAGGAGGCACGUGAUUUUUCAGAUUUUAUCACGUGUCUCCUUCUCUCAAAAUCUGAAAAAUACCAUUUUUUUUAUUUUUUAAAAAAUGGAAUUACACACGUGGCACACAUUAAUUGAUAAAAACAGACAUAUCAGCACUAAAUGUCAUGGGACCAUAAAAUCAGAAAGGGGGAAAACUAUAGGGGGCAAAAUCGCUCGUUUAAAACUAUGGGGUGUAAAAUCGCACAAUUGGCAAACUAUAAAAGAAAAAAGUGCAAUUAAGCCUUUUUUUUUUUACCGUAUGAAAGUAAUGAAAAAUAGCUUGUUUGCCCUAAACUAAAAUCAGCAGCACCUAUACUAAGUUCACUAUAUUAUACUCUUUCUUUUUUCUUGACAACACCAUGUUUUAUUAAAACAGCCCUGUGCCAGAAAUAACUAAAGGGCAAUAUAUCAACAGAGAACAAAAGCCAAAGGCCAACAUUAGUAGGAAAACCUCAUCCUAUGUUAUACCUACAGAUACAAUAGUGAAAUCAGAGCUUACAAAAUCAGAUAUCACUUAGAUAAACUAGCUACUAUAAGUCUUAAAUAUCUCUCAUUCGCUGUAAUUACUAUACAUAUAAGUUUAGUCAGCUUAAUAUAUAUUAAUAAAUUACAUUCCUAAAUUUCAUUAUCUCUAAAAUCAAUAUCUUUUUCCUUAAAGCAUACAAACAGCAUAUAAAUACUUAACUGACUUCUAAUUCAAUGUCUAAUUUUGAGUUGUAUGGGAAAGUGUCCUUACCUUAAGUGCUCUCCUUCCUAAUAUAUAGAGAAUUCUACCCAAUUGCCGGAACACGACUUCAAGAAUUAUUCUUCACUCAGGAGAGUACAAAUGGAAGAACAAAAGGGUGACUUUAUUUAGAAUGAAAUUAAAGGAUUGAAGAAAGAAUAGAAGAACAGACAAUGAAAUGACCCUUACCUCAAGACUUGAAUGGCAUGAAGCAUUUAUAUAAUAAAUGGGAGAGUUCAAUUGAGAAAAUGGUGGCUUGUAGUUUCAAUUUUUGGCAGGUAAAUGUUUUCAAUUUUGUGAGAUUAGAAAAUUUGGCUGAGUAUUGUAGGUGAGGUGUAUUUCUGUACUGGAAAUUGGAAAUAUGAAGUGGUGGUAGUUGAGAAGAAAUAGGAACAUGUGACAUAAAAGUUGAGACUUGAGAGGAGUGGGGGGUAGGGUAGGGAAUAGGUCAGAUCGGCCUACAAGGGUCUAUGGUCUGACAUGUUUAAGCCUGAUCUGACCUGUUUAUUAAAAAGGUUAGGCUUAGACUUUUUAAAAAGCCUAUUUAAGUAAAUAGGUCAGGCUUAGGCUAUCAAAAAAGCCUAUGAAACCUAGUAGGCCGGCCUGUUUAUGCAUGUUAGGCUUCAUAGUGGACUUUUUAAAUAGGCUUUAAAGCUUUAUAGUGAAAUAGGCUUUUAAGGUCUUAUAGUAGUGAUAGACAAGUCUUACACUGAAAUAGGUUUUGAGGUCUAUUAAGCCUAUUUAAAAAUAGAUAAAAUGGUAUGUUUAGUAACUUUAAGAGUAAGUAGGCCUGUAAAUAGACUUUCAGGUCAGGCCAGACCAGGCCAAAAAAAUAGGCCUAUGAAAGGCCAUAGACCAAGCUCAGGCCUGCAAUUUUUUUGUAGGCCAGACUCAGGCCUAUCAAAGUCUGACCUGGCCUGGCCUAUUCCCAACCUUAGUGGGGAGUUAUUUGACCAAGCACACAUGCAGAGAAGUUAUAAAAUUUAAAGUCUUGCACACGUCCAACCCUUCCACUAAUUCCUUAAUUAGUUUCCUAUUAUCAUUAUUUUUAUUUACAUCAUUUGUUUGGUCUGGCAUAUGGCAUUCUUUCAUCCCUAAUCUAGCACACUUGCAACUUCCCUUAUGUGUCAUCAUUAUCACAUAGAAUUCUACACAAUUCUCAUUGUAACCGGUUCUCCUAACUAAUGCUAAAUAAUUUAUCUAUUAGUCAUAGUAAUCUAACCAUACCAUAUUGUUCUAAAUAAAAUAAAUGCAUUCAAUAAGUAAAACAACUUACUAAAUCAAAGGCGUCAACACAAAUUAGUAGAAGAUUAUCCUAUUAAAUCAUACCAAAAUUACCAAUCAAUGCAGCUAACGAGAUAAAUAAUUAGAAUAGAUUAAACUAGUUACUCUAAUUUAUUUAAUUAAAAUAAAUAAAUAAUAGAGAGUGUUACAAUACUAACCCUCUAAAAAGAGUUUCGUCACUGAAACUAGUCAUCUAAGAAUAAGGUAGGAUGAAGCUCCCUCAUCUUAUCUUCUCGUUCCCAUGUAGUAUCUCCAGUUGCUUGAUUCCAAAUUACCUUGACUAGACGAAUCUCCUUACCCCGCAAGUACUUCACGCUCCUAUCACCAAUACUCAUUGGAGGAACCUCAAAAGAAAGGUUUUCCUUCAACUGGAUGUCGUCAGGUGCGAUAACAUGAGAACUAUCAGCCAUGUACCUUCUCAGCUGCGACACAUGAAACACAUCAUGAAGACCUGUCAAAUUUGGAGGUAAGGCAAUCUGAUAUGCUAGUGAUCCCACACGUCGAAGAAUCUGAUAUGGCCCAAUAAACUUUGGAGUAAGCUUAUUGGACUUCAAUGCUCUACCCACUCCAGUAGUGGGUGUCACCCUUAGAAACACAUUAUCACCUUCCUGGAAUUCCAAAGGCUUCCUCCGUCGAUUUGCAUAACUCUUCCAUCUUUUAUGGGACGUCUUCAUUUGUUCAUCGAUUAACCUAACCUUUCAGUCGUCUGUUGUACCAACUCAGGUCCUACUAACAUGCUCUCACACCGUCCUUGUACCAACAUAAUGGUGUCUAACAUUUACGCCCAUACAGAGCCUCGUAUGGCGCCAUUCCAAGGCUCGCAUGGUAAUUGUUAUUGUAGGUAAAUUCAAUAAGUGGUAACAAAUUGUCCUAGCUUCCCCGAUCGUCCAAGACACAUGCCCUUAACAUGUCCUCUAAUGUCUGAAUAGUCCUCUCGGUUUGUCCGCCUGUCUGUGGAUGGCAGGCAGAACUUAAUCUCAACUCAGUACCCAAAGCUUUCUGCAACGCUCCCCAAAAGUGAGAAGUAAACUUUGGAUCCCUAUCUAACACAAUGAUAGCCGGUACUCCAUGGAGUCUGACAAUUUCUCCAACAUAAAUCUCAGCAAGCUUAGCCACAUUGUAGUUAGUUCGUAGUGGUAUAAAGUGAGCUGAUCGUCAACUUGUCCACGAUCAUCCAUAUAGAGUCAAACUUCCUCUGAGUUUUUGGUAGGGCAACAACAAAGUCCAUGGAAAUGCUUUCCCACUUCCAUAGAAUAGAUUAAACUAGUUGCUCUAAUUUAUUUAAUUAAAAUAAAUAAAUAAUAGUGUGACAUAUACAUCUAUUAAAGAAUAGGCUAACAAGGAUAGCGCACGAGCUCUUCUUCUCAUCGUAGUCUUCUUGUUAUUACUUGAGUUUAUAUUAGAUUUAGAAGUUGAAUGAAAAUAAUUUCAAUUAUGAUACUCUUAUGUUGUCAUUUUUAGUUACUUUAUAUUAGAAAUCGUGGUUGGGCCUAACACAAUCCCACAAAACCGACUUGUGAGAUGAUGAUUGCCCCCACUUAUAAACAGAUUGUCAGGCUAACUCCUAACCGAUGUGGGACUCUUAACACACCCCUUCACGCUCAGUAUUGCACAUAAUUUGAAGUGUGAACAUAAAUGACGGGUGGCCCGGUAACAGAAACCUAAUAACAGGUGGCCUAAAGAAUCGUGAAGAGACUCUGAUAUCAUAUUAGAAAUCGUGGUUGGGUCUAGCACAACCCCACAAAACCGGCUUGUGAGGUGAGGAUUGCCCUCACUUAUAAACAAAUUGUCAGGUCAACUCCUAACCGAUGUGAGACUCUUAACACUUUAUAAUAUCACAUGCUUGUAAGACUUGGCAUUAAUUUUUAAUAUAAUUGAAGUUUGAUUUCAUUGUUUCAUAAAUUCAUUGUAUUUAUUUUUUUAAUGAAAUUUUGUACAUGGCUGCCCCUUUUUAACCAGCUUCUUUUUAAUCCCUGUGAUUUAGAAACUAGGGCAUUUACAUGACAGGAGGGCAUUGCCAUUAUUAUUUUUUUUAAAAAGUAUUAAAAAAAUAUUCUUAUUUUUAACCAGCUUCUUCUUAAUUCUAAUAACGUGUAGUUCUUUGAUUGGUUGUUCUAACUUCGAAGAGUGAUUAGUGGGAUUUGCACCAAUAGAAAUUUUCUCUCACGUGAGAUCCCUAUCUUUGAGUCACUAAUAUAGAGACAACAUUUUUUGGUAGUGACUAAUAUAGAGACAGCUAUAUUAGUAACAUGCAGUAGUAGUUUAUGAUUUUCUUUUCUUUUUGAAAAACAAAUAGUAAUAAUUUAUGAUCCGCGUUUUACACGAUGAUUUUGUGAUUUAAAAAAGAGUAAGUUGUUCAUUAGUUCUAGUUCAAUAUGUAGAAAUGUUGAAACUGUUAGAUCAUAUAUAUAUUGAUUUUUUUUUUUUUUUUUUUAUCAAGGUUAGAUCAUAUAUUUCUGCUGCAUAAAGAUUAACUUAUACCUACGGCUGUUUUUUGUUAUGAUAUACCUACGGAUUUGUUCCAUCGCUAUAUCCUAUAGUGAUGGAACUUUGGCUCUUGCACAAAACAUUUUGGUUUUAACUAAGGAUUUUGGCCGUAGGUACUGAGCUUAUUGAGAUAUGAUAAAAUGUUUUACCUACUGUGGCUUUAGGUAAAGAACUUAUUAGGAACUGAUAAAAUGUCUUACCUACGGCCUUAUGAAAUCAAUAGUAACCGGUCCAGAUUUGCUUUAUUAUCAUUUUUUUUUCUUCUAAAAAUGAUGUGGACUCUGUCAUUACAAUUGGUGGUGAUGGAAUUCUUUAGAAAAGUUCAGAUCCUACAUAUAUUUGAGUUUUAUAUGCAUGUAGUCUUGGUUUGAUUUUGAUGUAUUGAAUUUGCUAUAUCGACAGCUUAUGUGAUCUUUUGGAUUAUGCCAAUUUUAGUUUCACUUUCCUUUUAAGAUGUAAAGUUUGACCAAAAGUUGUAGUAUAAUUAAAGGGCUAAAUUUCAUUUUCGGUCCCUUAAUUAUUUAGGUAGUAUCGCUUUGGUCCCUUAAUUAAAAUUCGAUUUAUUUUGGUCCCUUAACUUCUCCUUGUUACACAUUUUGGUCUUUUCCGUUAGUUUUAAUUCAAAAACGUUAGGUUUUCUUCAUUUUCUUCUGAGAUUUUUGUUGUUGAAGGUUGAUGGAGAUGAUAUGAAAAUGAAAAAUAAGAGAAGAAGAUGAAGAAAACCUAACGUAUUUUUAAUUAAAACUAACGGAAAUAACUAAAAUGUAUAACAGAGAGAAGUUAAGAGACCAAAAUAAAUCAAAUUUUAAUUAAGGGACCAAACCAAUACUACCUAAAUAGUUAAGGGACCAAAAAUGCAAUUUAGCCUAUAAUUUUUGUCAAGGUAGUAAUCUGGCAUAGGACAAGCUCCUGAUGCAAUAGUGUCAAAAACCACUUCCAAUUAUACCUAUUUUCUACAUCCACAAUGGCAUAAACAAUGACAAAAUUGCAUUAUUUUAAUCUUGUACCACAACAGACAAUGGUUUCCUUCCAAAAUAUCCAUUCAGAAAACAUCCAUCUAAACCAAUCAACGACCUACAUCCCGCCAUAAAACCUUUUCUACAUGCAUUAGGACAAACAUAAAUUUUUUUGAAUUUUGGUGGGGACUAUGGAAUUUGUAUUGUAUUCAUCUUCACGAAAGAAGCUUAUUGCUUCUAAUUAACUUAUGCACAUAAGCUUGCAGAAGUCCAUACUACUCCCUUUUACUACCUUCAAACAACUGCCAUGUUUCCUUUGUUGCCCUAAAAAUCAAACAACCAUCAAGUAUAUGUUGGAACAAAAUGUGUUUCACAAUGAACCUUAUUAAGUUUUGAUUUUAACAUGGGAUUAAAAAUUGUCAAUUGGUUAUUACUAAUAAUUGUUCAAGUGUACAGGACCAAAAGCUACUCAAGUUAUUUCAAUAGGUCUUGGAAGAACAAUGGAAAGAAAAAGAAAUUUUGAGCAUCUGAGGAAAACUGCUCCUGAAGCUGAAGUGCUUCUGAAGUGAUGACGUCAUCAGAAGCAGAAGGUCAUCAGAAGCAAAAGUUUUCAUCAGAAGCAAUAUCUUCACCAGAAGCUACGUUUGAUCCUUUAAUCAAACUAAAGAUUCAAAGUAGCUGAUUCUCAAUUCAGUCUUAUCCAAGAAGAACGAAGAAUUGAAAGGGAGGUAUCAACGGAUAUAUGGAUAGCACUGAGCACUUGUCUCUCGUUAAUAGAGUUGACAAAGUACAAGUGUACAACCACUACCUCCACUACUCUGUUUUCUGUCUACGCUACAAGACAAAACAACAGCCAUGCCUGCAGAAUUUGUACGUUCAAGAUGGGAAUGAAUUUGAAGCUUAUUCUUCAAAGGACUACACCCAAAUCAGGCAAAGGAUCACUGGUGGAUAAUCAAAGGAUUUCAAACGACUCUUUAGACGUGCUGAUUAUCUCAACGUCUCUUUCACGCCUCUAUAUAAAGGAGUGAAGACUUGAAGAUUGGAGACAGAGAUACAUAAGUUCAAAAGCGCCAAAACUCUGUCAAUUUGAUUCUACAAAGCACACUGAAUUUCUGCACUGAUUUGAUACAUCUUAGAAAUUCAAAGUCUAGAGUCUUUACUGUAUUGUAUUGUGAACAUCACUGAUUGUAUAUCAAGUGUUCAACUCAAACUCAAUUCUCUGUAUUUUUGUUUGAUUAGAAGUCUCUUGCCUGCGUGCUUGAGCAUUAGAAGUCUCUUGCUUAGUGCUUGAGCAUUGGAAGACUCUUGCGUGUGUGCUUGAGCAUUUUUGUGAAGUCUCAUACUUAGAAAAUAUUGAGCAGUUGUAAUCUUUGUGAUUAUAGUGAAAUCUCCUUGGAAGUGCAAGGGGGACUGGACUACUUCCGUGUUGUGGAAGGAACCAGGAUAACUGCUUGUGUCUUUGUCUUUCUUUUCUCUGCUCUGUUCUUUUCCGCUGCAAUCUGACUCUGACAUUUCAUCAGAAGCAAUCAAACUGCUUCUGAAGUUUUAUCAGAAGAAGUAUUUUUUAAGAGAAAAAGAAAACACAAUUCAACCCCCCCUUCUUGUGUUUUUCACCUUCAGUAUAACCCCGUACUGAUGUUUCAUCAGAUUAAAAAAAUUUACUCGAGUUCACAUUAUAAUACAUAUUUUGUUAAGAAAAUAUUUUACGAAAAAACUUACAAAAAUAUAUAGCUGUGUUUAUAUGUAGCUCAUACACUUUUGUGAAUUACAUAGACUAGUUAGAAUUUAGGCUUAAUACAUGCUUUGGUCCCUUAAUUUAUUUUUGAAUUUCGUUUUGGUCCCUUAACUUUAAACCGUCUCAAUUUGGUCCAAUAACUUUGCCUCCGUUUACCUAAAUGGUCCCUUCUGUUAGUUUUUUUAACAGAAGGGACCACUUAGGUAAACGGAGACAAAGUUAUGGGACCAAAUUGAGACGGUUUAAAGUUAAGGGAUCAAAAUGAAAUUCAAAAAUAAGUUAAGGGACCAAAUCAUGUAUUAGGCCUUUUUUUUAUAUAAUAAUUAAGAAGCAAAUGAUUUGUUAUAUACUAUGUAACAUAUAACACUUCAUAUUGAAAGGUUGUUCAGUUUCCAACAAAUCAAAACAUAUGUUUCUAUUCAAUAAAUUAAUUUUUUUCUUGAGUUAUUAAUCGUGUUGAUAUGUGUCCGCAUCAAUAUUUUGUGUCUAUGUUAGUGUUUCAUAGAUUGUAUUAUAUGUACAUGCAGACCCUGAAGCAAAAGUGAUAUCUUUAUCACCAAAAGCAUUGAUGGCAACAAACAGAUUCGUGUGUGAAAUUUGUCUAAAGGAUUUUCAAAGGGAUCAAAAUCUUCAACUUCAUCGACGUGGAUAUAACCUACCUUGGAAGUAUAUUAAAAUUUCAAAGGGAUCAAAGGAUUUUCUUUAUCUCUAAUUACUUAUUCUUAUCAUAAGUAUAUUAAAAUUUCAAAGCUAAUUAAUUAUCACAGUAAAAAGAAAAUCAGAAAUAAGUUCAAAAUUACAACAUUUAUUAACAUUUAUUUUUGAAUUUCAUUUUGAUCCUUUAACGUUAAACUGUCUCAAUUUGGUCCCAAAGGGACCACUUAGGUAAACAAAGGUAAAGUUAUGGGACCAAAUUGAGACAGUUUAACGUUAAGGGACCAAAAUGAAAUUCAAAAAUAAGUUAAGGGACCAAAGCAUGUAUUAAGCCUAGAAUUUUAAGUUGAAAACGCGCAAUUCAAUUUUAUUCAAAUUUCAAAGUGACUUCCAGUACAUACAUAAGUUAAGAUGCUUUGAUUCCCAAGGGUUACAUGAAACCAGAGGGAAUCAAAGUGUAACAGGUACAUAAUAAGCAUAAAGGUACUUACAUAAUAAGUGAUCCUGCUCAUUUUUCUUUCUUAAUCUAACGAUCUAUAACCAUCGUAAAGUUGGUCGUACAGGAUCUGAGUUUUGUCUUAUUCCAUAC
This 40605-nucleotide long non-coding RNA is filed under the name Medicago truncatula (barrel medic). RNAcentral's name for it is "long non-coding RNA (MTRU_LNC008336)". The stretch from base 24928 to 25040 matches the Rfam family "MIR2593 microRNA precursor family". The record is from RNAcentral. Lineage: Eukaryota; Viridiplantae; Streptophyta; Magnoliopsida; Fabales; Fabaceae.